RNAcentral lists this ribosomal RNA (253 nucleotides) under uncultured bacterium. RNAcentral describes it as "partial 16S ribosomal RNA". It matches the Rfam family "Bacterial small subunit ribosomal RNA", at positions 524 to 776 of the family's 1533-position model. The record is from RNAcentral.
UACGUAGGGUGCAAGCGUUGUCCGGAAUUAUUGGGCGUAAAGAGCUCGUAGGCGGCUUGUCGCGUCGGCUGUGAAAACCUGGGGCUCAACCCCGGGCCUGCAGCCGAUACGGGCAAGCUAGAAUUCGGUAGGGGAGACUGGAAUUCCUGGUGUAGCGGUGAAAUGCGCAGAUAUCAGGAGGAACACCGGUGGCGAAGGCGGGUCUCUGGGCCGAUAUUGACGCUGAGGAGCGAAAGCAUGGGGAGCGAACAGG